Molecule: ribosomal RNA, 253 nt
Filed under: uncultured bacterium
Lineage: Bacteria
Description: partial 16S ribosomal RNA
Rfam family: Bacterial small subunit ribosomal RNA
Source: RNAcentral
UACGUAGGUGACCAGCGUUGUCCGGAUUUACUGGGCGUAAAGAGCGCGCAGGCGGUCGUUCAAGUCGAGUGUGAAAGCCCCCGGCUCAACUGGGGAGGGUCAUUCGAUACUGAUCGACUCGAAGGCAGGAGAGGGGAGCGGAAUUCCCGGUGUAGUGGUGAAAUGCGUAGAUAUCGGGAGGAACACCAGUGGCGAAGGCGGCUUCCUGGCCUGUUCUUGACGCUGAGGCGCGAAAGCUAGGGGAGCAAACGGG